GAUGUUCUAUACUUGGAGGUUUUCCUCAUUAGAGUGGUUUGCUUCAAUUUAAUCUGCUGGUAUAUUAUUUUUACCACUUCUUAGAUAUCUAAGGUUGUGCUCAUCAAAGUGGUUGGCUUGAGCUGUAUCUGCAGGGUAUCUCACUGCUACUUCUCAUACAUCUGAGGUUUUGCUUAUUGUAGUGGUUGGCUUCGGCUGAGCCUCCAUGUGUCUUACUGUUACCACUUAGGUAUUGG
RNAcentral lists this unclassified non-coding RNA (236 nucleotides) under Hevea brasiliensis (rubber tree). Lineage: Eukaryota; Viridiplantae; Streptophyta; Magnoliopsida; Malpighiales; Euphorbiaceae. The record is from RNAcentral.